AUGAGGGCAAUCUGGUUAAGAAUAUAGGAAGGAUCCAUUAAAAAGUCUAUGAACACGAAAUACCAGAAAGUUGUCUAUAGUAAAGACUUUAUGAAAGUUCAACACAGAAUUCUCCACUAUGAUAGCAUCAAACAACAACUACUCUUAUUAACAAUUUUUAGCUGCUCCUUAGGGAAGGAUGUAUUCCCAUGAUCCUUCUCAAUAUAUGUAUGAUUUCAUUUUAAAAUAAGAUCAGAUUAUGGCAUAUUAAAAUUAUUAAUAAACAAUAUAUAUCUCAAUCUCAGGUGGAAAAAUAAACUAUGCUUAUGAUAAACUAAUAUCCAAGAGAACAAAGACUAUAUCAGCUCAUUCCAAACAUGGGUAUUUCAUAAAUUAUGCAAAAAAUAAAACAAAGAUUAAAUUGAAGAUAAAUUAUUACUCUGAGUGUCCAGUGCUGAGACCGUGACUUAAAAAGUUAUCAAGUACUUUUUGCUGGAUGAAGAUGAGGAUGGGGAUUUUGUCCUGCUCCAGGAUCAAGGUUCUGUUCUGUUUCUCUGGAGCGGCUUCAUUCAGCCAUGCAUGAAUUCUCCACCAAGACCAAGAGACAUGUGCACAACAUUGGAAUGUGCAAAACCAAGGGACACCUACACACACACACACACACACACACACACACACACACACAUACAUACAUACACACACACACACACAUCCGUACAUGAACAUGUACAUAUACAUAUUCACACCUAGUAGAGGGUUUGGGGGUGACCCUCUUAUGGCUAUGAUAUAAUCCAUGUGAGGUUAUAAACAAAGUUCCCUGCUAUAUGGUUAGAGAUGGACUCCAGCUUCAGUCUCUGUGCUCAAACACAUCUACUUUGAAAGCCUCCUAUCAUUCUCAGGACUACUUAAAAUGCUGCCCAUACAAAUAACUGUUCCUAUAACAUGCACUCAUGGCUAAUAACAAGCUAAUUGCUUAACUGUGUUUAUAGCUGUAAAUUAAUUACUAAUGCACUUUUAUUUAGAGUAGUUCUAAACACUUUUUUUUUAAAUCAUUUGUUUCAACACGUGGAUCUAAGGCACUUCAGAAUUUACAAUUGGAUGGUGGAUGGAGAUUUGACUGUUGCACAACUUCAAGCUCAUGAUUAAAUUCUGAAAUACUUGCUCAGACUGAAAUGUUGAAUAAUGUGCCAUCUUAUCAGCAACUACCCUGGGAGUUUGAGCUUGGGCUGACGUAAAUGGUAUAAUUACACUCCACAGAAAGAGCUAGUAAAUCCAUGUUUAUAUUUUAGGGCCUGCUUAGUUUAAUUUGUAUUGGUAUUAUUAUAACAAUCCAAUUUGUAGUGUGCACAGUUGGUAUUUAAUAAGUAGUUUUUCUACUUUACAUUACCAGAAAAAUAAUUGUAUCUCCAUGGUUACUGUUAUCUGCUAAUAUUAGUCUUUAUUUUAAGUUGCUAAUUUUCUAAUGCUAGCCCUGUAGACACAAGUUCUGAACUUUUAUUUGUGGGACAUAUUUUACAUUAUCAUUAGGUAGUGAAAAAAUCCAUUAUGAUUGUCCUUUAAGUAACUUUACAUGAGGAUAAUCCAGAGGGCCAAAAGUCAUUCUUUUCAUUCUGUUUGUCCUAAGUUAAUAAGUUCUAUGUGGGAAAAUAGUCUACUUGCCUUUUAAAUGUCUUUUUCUUUUUUCUUUAUCAUCCCCUCUAAGAAUUUCCUUCUGUGUGUUUCCUGAUGACCAAUAAUUUCCUAGACAAUGACUAGAAUUCUCAGUGAAUAUGUUGUCUGUAAAUGUAAGUCAUUAGUCUUGUUUAACAGCUAUUUUCAUCAGUUUUCUUCACCUUUACUCAAUUACCCUUGAAGACUCUUUCAUUUAUUUAAUAUCAUCAGUCUAACUUUAUGACUAUUAUUAUCCACUCUACUCCCCAAAUUAAUGGAGAGCAUUCUAUGAAGUGAGGGUGUCUCAAGUGUGAGUGGAUAACUUGUGGGAUAAUAAGACAAUUGACUCUUACUUAUACUACAUAUCACAAAUAUUCCACAAAAUAUCCUCUAUUUACCUGAUUCUUGGAUCCAGAACAACAUGGUUUCCAGAGACUCUAGACUCAUAAUUUCUAGAGAAUAUGUUUAAAUCCUAUUGAGCUGAUUAGUUUUUGGUUAACACUAAGCUGAAAAUUGAAUCUUUGGUGACAGUUUCCAAGAACAAAGCCUCUGCCCACAAGGAGACAGAAGUUACAGAUCUUCAGAACAUCCCUCUGUGGCUCCCUUUUCCUCAUCAUUGGAAACAACAAACCCCAGCAUCUGGCUCUGCAUCUUGUGGGUAGAUGCUCAUUCCAUUGGCUCCUGGAUCUUGUGGCUCCUUACAUCACAACGUACUUAGUAGUUCCUCAAGCAAAAGCCAACUUCAAGCUGAGAUUCCUAUCGUCUGCAGUCCAGAGUCAAAUGUUUGCCUCACAUUUGUAAUGUUGCCUGUCCUAUUUUAUUUCCGAUAAAGUGGUUCAUUAUUCUUUUCUUAUUAUUUUGUUCUUGGUUAUUGGUGGAUUUUUACUUUUACUUUUAUAUUUUUAGAUAGUUGCACAAUAUAGUCCAUCUUGGUCUGAAACUUGAUAUUUAACCAAGCUGGUUUCAAACUCCUGCUACUCCUGAUUUGACUUAACAAGGGAUUGUAGGAUUACAAGAUUGACUUAGCAUACCUACCUUAUCUGUAUUAUUCUUAACACUUGGCUUAUAUAGUAACAUUUAGACUCUGUCAUUUCUGAAGACUUUUAGAUGUUAAGGUUGUAGGGGACCUCAGGAUAUAUCAAAUGGGGUAUCUCCGGCCUGGCUAUGCGCUCUCUAAGCUCCCAAUCAUUUUGCAUGUAAACAUUUUGAGUUCAGGUUAGAUUUGGUAACAUUUUUAAAGCCAACAAAUUCAGUUUAAAAAUUCUCAAGUAUUUUUUUAAACUAAAUCGAUUCUCAAAGAUGGAUUAUAUAAAUAUGGCAGCUUCUAAAAUUAAAGCAGCAAAGACCCAUUGUGCCUUACUGCAUUCUUACAAAAUAGGUACUAUCCAUCUUUGCUCCUCUUACACUCCUGGACUGAACCCAAAGGGCAUAUCUUCUCCAUCAUAGGCAGCAUACUGGAACUCCACUAAACUAAAUUGGUGUGCUCUUUAUUUAAACACAAGUACAUCUAAGAGGAGCUACAAGAGCUAUUGAUUGUACUUAUGCUAUAGUGUUCAUGUUCUUAGAGAGCCAGAAAUCUCAGAGGCAGUUAGAAAAUAAUGUUUUACUACAGCCGCCAACCUCUAUUGAAAUAUAGAAAGAUUUGAGGAGACAAUUUUCUUUGAAGAAUGACACCUCAUUGUACAUGUUAAAGAAUAUCUCAGCUUGUAGAUGUAACUAGCUGUUAAAUAUUAUACACAGUUUUAGGUUUGAAACAUUGCUCCCGCAUCACGCCCUCUCUCUAUUCUGAACAGGAAAUUGAUUUGGCAUAAGUGAAUGAUAGAUAGGAGCUGUAAACCGUCUCUCUAUAUAGAUUUGUUGUAUUUUUCGAAAAUUGCCCUUAAACUAUAAAACACGAUGCUGUAGGCAGUCUUUUGCAUAGUUCUUUCAAUUGGGUAAUAAAAUAUUGAACAAUAUUCCAGAUAGGAGAAUUGCCAUGUGUCACUGUUAUAUGCCUGAUGGAAAUAUUUCAUCUACUUUGAGUAAUGAGUAGUAGGAGAUAAAGGUUGAUUACAGCUUCACAGGACUGUCUCACAGAUAGGAUUGUUCUGCUACUAUGCAUGUACUAAGGGAAAUCAAACAGGAAUUUCAUUAUACUUAGCAUUUAAAAACCUAAUGCUUUUUAAAUUGCUUCUUAUUCCUGUGUGCCCCUGCUCUUGUUUCUAAACCCCCC
RNAcentral lists this long non-coding RNA (3841 nucleotides) under Mus musculus (house mouse). RNAcentral describes it as "long non-coding RNA chr1:129833147-129836988". The record is from RNAcentral. Lineage: Eukaryota; Metazoa; Chordata; Mammalia; Rodentia; Muridae.